CGUUUUGUUACUGUUGUUAAAUCUGUAGAUUAAAGAAUUGAAACCCUUAUUUUUCGUUUGUUCCUUCUUCCUCAGCGCAACCCGUCUGCAACUUUUUUCUUCCUUCUCCUUCUCCCUUCUUUCCUCCCUCGCUUUGUACACAUUUUCAAAUCUCACACUGGAAAAUCGCCUGAUAAGAAAGUAAUAGAUGAAAGAACACAUGGAUAGAAAACGAUGAAAGCGAAAAAAUAGAAGAAAAUAAACAAUCUUUCUGUUGUCCAUAUUAAUGCCCACCUUUCCAUAUAAAAGAAGAAAAUAAACAAUCUUUCCAAUGCCUUGGACUAUUUCGCAAUGUCACAUUAAAUUUUUAGUUUUAACAUUUAAAUUCCUCCAUUAUUAAUGCCUAUAAUCUAAAAAAAUUCACAAGUACUGACAUUCAUUCACGAUAGCCAUUCUCAAGCUUUUGCCCUAUCAAAUUAGCUAUUCGACAUAGACGCAUACAUAGCUUGUAACGGAGAUUCAGAGCUCUUCAAAAACUUGAUACUUCUCCAAAAAAAAAAACAAAUGAACAAAAUGCAACUGGACUAUUUCACAAAAAAUCAGAUUUCGCACCUGUCAGCCAUGGCAAGCAAUGACAAUCCUCACGCAGCGGCGAAUCCUCCGCCUCCCGCUGCAAUGACGAAUUCACCUGCGCCAGCAAUCGACGGAGCGCUACCCACCAAUGGGCUGAGAAGUCGAACUCAAUCGGAAGAUUUCACCACCGGCGCCGCCGUAUAGAUUGGGGAAGGAGAUUAGUUCAGUGAGAUUUAACAAAUUACGGGAAGCAGAAGACGAAUUACGGGCUCUGUUUA
RNAcentral lists this long non-coding RNA (830 nucleotides) under Salvia miltiorrhiza (redroot sage). RNAcentral's name for it is "long non-coding RNA (SMIL_LNC005087)". The record is from RNAcentral. Lineage: Eukaryota; Viridiplantae; Streptophyta; Magnoliopsida; Lamiales; Lamiaceae.